This is a long non-coding RNA of Spinacia oleracea (spinach), 939 nucleotides long. RefSeq lists it as uncharacterized. The record is from RefSeq and is a predicted model, not a curated record. The transcript is spliced from 4 exons. NCBI's taxonomy places the organism in Eukaryota, Viridiplantae, Streptophyta, Magnoliopsida, Caryophyllales, Amaranthaceae.
AACUUCCCUUUGAAAACUUUCCAUGAAACUUUUAUUUUUUUUGAAAGAAUUUCUGUAAAACAAAAUCCCUUACUCGGCACUUCUCUCCUCUACAUCUCCCCACUUCUUUCCCACCACUACCCACGCCGAACUCACCGCCGUCGUUGCUCCCAUCGCCUCUUCUCCUGUGUCCCAUCUUAUCUCGUCUCCUGCGUGCCAUCUUCUCUCCUCUCCUGCGUGCUAUCUUCUCUCCACUUUACCAGCCAAGUCGUCGACUUAUGUACCACUUAGUACCUCCACCGCCUCCUCUCCUGGGGCAAAGAAUCGCGCUCACCGCCACUAUCGUCGACUUGCCUCCUGCUGGAAACCGCUAAGAGGAAUGCAGAAGUUCAAGAUUGAGUUAAAGAAGACAUUGUUUAGAGAUGAAAAUGCAUUGGGGGAUGGACAUGACCGGGUUGUAGAUGUUGCACCGAGUGAGCAGCUCAAAAUGGAGACGAAGAAAGUGGUCGGGUGGACAAAUGCACGUGUCCAUUAUUUGUGAUUACAAAAGGAGGGUGUAGGUUUGCUUCUGCUGCUGCUGCUCUUCUGUAUGUUGUUUCUGCUUUGCUUCGGCUGCUGCUCUAUAUGUUGUUGUUUCCACUUCCUUUAUGUACAUCAAUUGGUUCAUAUGAAGCAAGUUUCAAGGACAAGUCUUCUUAUCGAUCUGCUUGUUUCAGCUGCUGAAGGUCUAGAUUAUCACACUUAAUUUCCAACAUGGUGUUGUUCUUAGGAUGCAUGUGAAAGUUGUCGGGCUCUGCCAAUUUUUUCUCUGUAUAUAGUUUGUUAAAAUGCUCGUGUUAGUUGUCUAUGUUUACUUAUACUGUUAUAUAAUAUUAAAUAUUGAUUUCUUUACUUGAAAAUUUUGUGAAUUACAAAUGAAUAGAGUUUACUUUAUAUUCAAGAUCGAUAUUCUAGUCUUUA